UACGGGGGGGGCAAGCGUUGUUCGGAAUGACUGGGCGUAAAGGGCGCGUAGGCGGCCGCUUGCGUCGGAUGUGAAAGCCCGGGGCUCAACCCCGGAACGGCAUCCGAUACGGGGCGGCUCGAGACCGAGAGAGGUGAGUGGAAUACCCAGUGUAGAGGUGAAAUUCGUAGAUAUUGGGUGGAACACCGGUGGCGAAAGCGGCUCACUGGCUCGGUUCUGACGCUGAGGCGCGAAAGCGUGGGGAGCAAACAGG
RNAcentral lists this ribosomal RNA (253 nucleotides) under uncultured bacterium. RNAcentral describes it as "partial 16S ribosomal RNA". It matches the Rfam family "Bacterial small subunit ribosomal RNA", at positions 524 to 776 of the family's 1533-position model. The record is from RNAcentral.